GCGGUUCGUUGGUUAUAACUAUUUUCACAAGCAUCGGAUCGCUUUGCGGUCUUCAACAAAGUUUUUCAGAACAUCUUAGGCUAUCAUUUUAUAGUAUCGGUUAAAAAGUUUCAGACAAACUUUUUCAACUUAUGACAGCAGAAAAGUAUGUUUUCCCAUACAAAAUCCCAUACAAAUUUCAAUUGAAAUGCGCAAAGUGUAGACGCAACCGAUCGUGCUCAAAUUUUGCAGAGAUACUCAGGACCCGAAACGGAACCAAAAAAGGUUUGAUCAGAGAAAACGGUUCCGAUGACCCACACUAAUGUACAGCAAAUGCCACCCCGGCCUUAGUCUGAUCGAUAAGGUAAGUAAGCCAUUUGGCAAAAUAGACCCCUCUGCAUAUUGCAUGGCCACUUGAGUAUUAUAAACUUGCAUCAAUUUAUGGUUGAUUGAGGGUGAUUUAAAAAAAAUCGAAUGAAAAUUGACGAAAUGUCAGCAUUUUGAGAAUGACUUAUCGGGGGUCGGGUACGUGAAGGUUAAGCACACACUGAUAUCCAUUUUAUAUCUAUAUUUCCUGGAAACUUUGGUGCAUUAUUAUGCACAAGAUCGAUAAGGAGAACCAUCGUCAUAUCACGUUAAAAAAGCAAAAACAAAGUAUCCACCCACGCAGUCAUAUAAAGAGAGCCCAUUGAACCGGUGUAGGCAGAUUUCACUCAGUUAGGCAGCUGAUUGAAAUAUUGGAAAGUAUAUGAAGAAUUAAGUGAUAUCGAUAGUAUUGAAUACGUCCGCUUUGCCAGUUUUCGAGGCCUACCGAGUACCGAUUUAUCCGGAGAACAUGGGAGGCAUCUUCACCUUAAUAGCUCUUGUAACUUUGGGCACCCUGUAUUAUUUUUCAUCGCGGAUCAGUUUAAAGUUUCCAAGGUCGUCCUACUGAAGCAUACCACCAGCACCACAACCAGGAAAGCAAUAUCACGACCGUUGCAGCUGAGCGAAUCAACCCUACUCGUGACGAGAAAACUUAUUUACUAGCGAACAAUCGAAACAUGCAACCAUCCAGCUGUGAAUCGCUAAGAUCUCCUAGUGUCGGAUCGGGUGGAGCAUUAGAAGCGAGGCCGGGUCAUAACAUACCCAAGCCGGAUUUCUAUACGAAAUAUCUUCCGAAAGUUAGGAUCUGUCAUAAAAUCCUAUGUGUCUUCCGUGGCCAUAAUGGCACAUUUUUCCGUCAGUCAAUGUGAGUUGGAAAUACAAUAAUGAUUUAAAUAUAUACGA
Aedes albopictus (Asian tiger mosquito) is the source of this 1248-nucleotide long non-coding RNA. RefSeq lists it as uncharacterized. The transcript is spliced from 3 exons. The record is from RefSeq and is a predicted model, not a curated record. NCBI's taxonomy places the organism in Eukaryota, Metazoa, Arthropoda, Insecta, Diptera, Culicidae.